Non-coding RNA from Petromyzon marinus (sea lamprey), 257 nucleotides. The record is from RefSeq and is a predicted model, not a curated record. NCBI's taxonomy places the organism in Eukaryota, Metazoa, Chordata, Hyperoartia, Petromyzontiformes, Petromyzontidae.
CACGCGGCUGCUGAUGUAGACGAAAAGACACCGACUGCAAAUGUCACGUUCAGGUGCUGCUGAUGUCGACGCAGAGACACCGACUACAAACCUCACAAUCAGGUGCUGCUGAUGUCGACGCAGAGACACCGACUACAAACCUCACAAUCAGGGAAGAUUGAACGGGUCAUCAACAGAGUGUCAUGGGCUCGAAAAUAAAGACGGCCGUCUUCGUGUUUAUUUCGUUACUGGUCAUGAUUUUCCUUUCCUCGGGAUAC